GGGGAUAUGGCGAAAUUGGUAGACGCUACGGACUUGAUUGGAUUGAGCCUUGGUAUGGAAACAUACUAAGUGAUAACUUUCAAAUUCAGAGAAACCCUGGAAUUAAAAAUGGGCAAUCCUGAGCCAAAUCCUGUUUUCAGAAAACAAACAAAUAAAGGGUUUGGAAAGCAAGAAUAAAAAAGGAUAGGUGCAGAGACUCAAUGGAAGCUAUUCUAACGAAUAGAGUUGACUGCGUUGCGUUGAUUGAGGAAUCCUUCUAUUUAAACUCCAGAAAGGAUGAACCCAUAUACGUACAUAUACAUAAUAAAAUAUCAAAGAUUAAUGGCGGUUCGAAUCUUUAUUUAUUUUUUUUUAUGCAAAAUUGAAGGAUUCUUGUGAAUCGAUUCCAAGUUUAAAUAAGAAUCGAAUAUUCACUGAUCAAAUCAGUCACUCCAUAGUCUGAUAGAUCUUUUAAAGAACUAACUAAUUCGACGAGAAUAAAGAUAGAGUCCCAUUAUACAUGUCAAUACCGACAAAAAUGCAAUUUAUAGUAAGAGGAAAAUCCGUCGACUUUUUAAAUCGUGAGGGUUCAAGUCCCUCUAUCCCCA
RNAcentral lists this non-coding RNA (587 nucleotides) under Actaea japonica. RNAcentral describes it as "tRNA-Leu". The stretch from base 26 to 512 matches the Rfam family "Group I catalytic intron". Rfam says of the family: Group I catalytic introns are large self-splicing ribozymes. Lineage: Eukaryota; Viridiplantae; Streptophyta; Magnoliopsida; Ranunculales; Ranunculaceae. The record is from RNAcentral.